This is a non-coding RNA of Plectropomus leopardus (leopard coralgrouper), 672 nucleotides long. NCBI's taxonomy places the organism in Eukaryota, Metazoa, Chordata, Actinopteri, Perciformes, Serranidae. The record is from RefSeq and is a predicted model, not a curated record.
CUGAACCUACAACCACUACACCUGCACCGACAACUGCUACACAAACCACUUUGGCCCCAGAUGUCACCUAUACCCUCACAGCAGACUUAGCAGGAGAAACUUUUACACCUGCCCUCACUGAUACAAACAGCCCUGAAUUCAAAGAACUUGCAAUCCGAGUAAUAGAUACGUGUGCUCUCAUAUACAGAAGGAAAUAUCCAAAUCUGUUCCUUUUCUGCCUUGUGAAAAGUUUCAGUGCCUUAAUAUCACGAACGGAGGGAGUUAGAGCAAAUUUUCAAGUUGUCUUUAAUUCUACAAGUGGAAGUGGAGCACUCCCAAUGAAUAGUGCUGUGGCUGCUACCUUAACAGAGGCGGUGUCUGAUUCCACCAAUAACUUCAGCGUGAGCAUAAAUCCUACCUCAGUGGAAACAAUAGCCGGUCCACUUCCAGAUCCAACUACAGUUUCCCCAGCUACUACUGCUGCACCUAUAACUGCCGUAGCUACUACUGCUGUAACUACUACUGCUGCACCUAUAACUGCUGCACCUACAACUGCCACACUCAUACCAAAAAGGGCCACUUUCAGAUCUCUUCAAAGCACAUUUACAGCCGACUUGUUGAAUCCAUCAUCCACAGCUUAUCAGGAUCGCGUUAAAAUGAUAACAGACCAGGUAAGUCUCCCCCUCCUGCUGC